This 429-nucleotide ribosomal RNA is filed under the name Bacteroidota bacterium. Its description in RNAcentral is "Bacteroidetes bacterium partial 16S ribosomal RNA". It matches the Rfam family "Bacterial small subunit ribosomal RNA", at positions 355 to 776 of the family's 1533-position model. The record is from RNAcentral. Lineage: Bacteria; Pseudomonadati; Bacteroidota.
UAGGGAAUCUUCGGCAAUGGGGGGAACCCUGACCGAGCAACGCCGCGUGAGUGAAGAAGGUUUUCGGAUCGUAAAGCUCUGUUGUUAAGGAAGAACGAGUGUGAGAAUGGAAAGUUCAUGCUGUGACGGUACUUAACCAGAAAGGGACGGCUAACUACGUGCCAGCAGCCGCGGUAAUACGUAGGUCCCGAGCGUUGUCCGGAUUUAUUGGGCGUAAAGCGAGCGCAGGCGGUUAGAAAAGUCUGAAGUGAAAGGCAGUGGCUCAACCAUUGUAGGCUUUGGAAACUGUUUAACUUGAGUGCAGAAGGGGAGGGUGGAAUUCCAUGUGUAGCGGUGAAAUGCGUAGAUAUAUGGAGGAACACCGGUGGCGAAAGCGGCUCUCUGGUCUGUAACUGACGCUGAUGUGCGAAAGCGUGGGGAUCAAACAGG